CCUACGGGAGGCAGCAGUGGGGAAUAUUGGACAAUGGGCGCAAGCCUGAUCCAGCAAUGCCGCGUGAGUGAUGAAGGCCUUAGGGUUGUAAGGCUCUUUUACCCGGGAAGAUGAUGACUGUACCGGGAGAAUAAGCCCCGGCUAACUCCGUGCCAGCAGCCGCGGUAAU
This 169-nucleotide ribosomal RNA is filed under the name uncultured bacterium. RNAcentral's name for it is "partial 16S ribosomal RNA". It matches the Rfam family "Bacterial small subunit ribosomal RNA", at positions 338 to 524 of the family's 1533-position model. The record is from RNAcentral.